Molecule: ribosomal RNA, 511 nt
Filed under: uncultured Actinomycetes bacterium
Lineage: Bacteria; Bacillati; Actinomycetota; Actinomycetes
Description: bacterial SSU rRNA
Rfam family: Bacterial small subunit ribosomal RNA
Source: RNAcentral
UCGGGAAUCUUGCGCAAUGGGCGAAAGCCUGACGCAGCAACACCGUGUGGGCGACGAAGGCCUUCGGGUCGUAAAGCCCUGUUGUUGGGGACGAAGGGCGAAGGGUUAAUAGCCCCUAGCCUGACGGUACCCUUCGAGGAAGCCCCGGCUAACUACGUGCCAGCAGCCGCGGUAAUACGUAGGGGGCGAGCGUUGUCCGGAAUUAUUGGGCGUAAAGAGCGUGUAGGCGGUUCGGUAAGUCUGCCGUGAAAACCUGGGGCUCAACCCCGGGCGUGCGGUGGAUACUGCCGGGCUAGAGGGUGGUAGAGGCGAGUGGAAUUCCCGGUGUAGCGGUGAAAUGCGCAGAUAUCGGGAGGAACACCAGUAGCGAAGGCGGCUCGCUGGGCCAUUCCUGACGCUGAGACGCGAAAGCUAGGGGAGCGAACAGGAUUAGAUACCCUGGUAGUCCUAGCCGUAAACGAUGAACACUAGGUGUGGGGGAGUCGAGUCCCCCUGUGCCGAAGCCAACGCG